CCCAUUUCCACACAUUCCCAUUAAUCCACUGAGCACUAUAAGAAAAUUACAUGCUCAUUAGCCCACAUUGGUGGCUAAAAAACUUUAUUGUGAAUGAUUGUUGUAAUGGACCAUCCAUCAAUCGAUGCUCCUAGUGCUUACCAACGACCAUCAGCACCGCACCAGACACCAUAAGCACUGCAGACCCCACAAACUGCUGCAGCUUGGUUGGGGUCUCGCCUUCUCCUACCCACCCUGGACCCACAACCAGGCUCCAGGGGGUGAACCUCUCUUCCUUCAGAGAGCGAAGCAGGAACAGCUCUUAUAAGAGCUAGUGAUUAGAACCCAGGGGAGUAUACAGAGUAUAGCAAUCCCCAGUGUGAUUAUAGCAGUUCCCCCUCCAAUCACGAGACAAG
Molecule: non-coding RNA, 395 nt
Organism: Pelobates cultripes (western spadefoot toad)
Lineage: Eukaryota; Metazoa; Chordata; Amphibia; Anura; Pelobatidae
Source: the annotation of a GenBank genome assembly